AUUGAACGCUGGCGGCAUGCUUUACACAUGCAAGUCGAACGGUAACAGGCCGCAAGGUGCUGACGAGUGGCGAACGGGUGAGUAAUGCAUCGGAACGUGCCCAGUCGUGGGGGAUAACUACUCGAAAGAGUAGCUAAUACCGCAUACGAUCUAUGGAUGAAAGCGGGGGACCGUAGGGCCUCGCGCGAUUGGAGCGGCCGAUGUCAGAUUAGGUAGUUGGUGGGGUAAAGGCUCACCAAGCCAACGAUCUGUAGCUGGUCUGAGAGGACAACCAGCCACACUGGGACUGAGACACGGCCCAGACUCCUACGGGAGGCAGCAGUGGGGAAUUUUGGACAAUGGGCGCAAGCCUGAUCCAGCAAUGCCGCGUGCAGGAAGAAGGCCUUCGGGUUGUAAACUGCUUUUGUACGGAACGAAACGGCUCUGGUUAAUACCCGGGGCUAAUGACGGUACCGUAAGAAUAAGCACCGGCUAACUACGUG
RNAcentral lists this ribosomal RNA (482 nucleotides) under uncultured bacterium. RNAcentral describes it as "partial 16S ribosomal RNA". It matches the Rfam family "Bacterial small subunit ribosomal RNA", at positions 30 to 507 of the family's 1533-position model. The record is from RNAcentral.